AGUUGCGAAGGCGGCUCGCUGGACUGUAACUGACGCUGAGGCACGAAAGCGUGGGGAGCAAACAGGAUUGGAUACCCUGGUAGUCCACGCUGUAAACGAUGAGUACUAGGUGUCGGGGGUUACCCCCCUCGGUGCCGCAGCUAACGCAUUAAGUACUCCGCCUGGGAAGUACGCUCGCAAGAGUGAAACUCAAAGGAAUGGACGGGGACCCGCACAAGUAGCGGAGCAUGUGGUUUAAUUCGAAGCAACGCGAAGAACCUUACCUAAGCUUGACAUCCCAAUGACAUCUCCUUAAUCGGAGAGUUCCCUUCGGGGACAUUGGUGACAGGUGGUGCAUGGUUGUCGUCAGCUCGUGUCGUGAGAUGUUGGGUUAAGUCCCGCAACGAGCGCAACCCUUGUCUUUAGUUGCCAUCAUUAAGUUGGGCACUCUAGAGAGACUGCCAGGGAUAACCUGGAGGAAGGUGGGGAUGACGUCAAAUCAUCAUGCCCCUUAUGCUUAGGGCUACACACGUGCUACAAUGGGUAGUACAGAGGGUUGCCAAGCCGUAAGGUGGAGCUAAUCCCUUAAAGCUACUCUCAGUUCGGAUUGUAGGCUGAAACUCGCCUACAUGAAGCUGGAGUUACUAGUAAUCGCAGAUCAGAAUGCUGCGGUGAAUGCGUUCCCGGGUCUUGUACACACCGCCCGUCACACCACGGGAGUUGGAGACGCCCGAAGCCGAUUAUCUAACCUUUUGGAAGAAGUCGUCGAAGGUGGAAUCAAUAACUGGGGUGAAGUCGUAACAAGGUAGCCGUAUCGGAAGGUGCGGCUGGAUCACCUCCUUUCUAAGGA
This 829-nucleotide ribosomal RNA is filed under the name Clostridioides difficile. Its description in RNAcentral is "bacterial SSU rRNA". It matches the Rfam family "Bacterial small subunit ribosomal RNA", at positions 711 to 1533 of the family's 1533-position model. Lineage: Bacteria; Bacillati; Bacillota; Clostridia; Peptostreptococcales; Peptostreptococcaceae. The record is from RNAcentral.